AUUAAUGAGAGUUUGAUCCUGGCUCAGGACGAACGCUGGCGGCGUGCCUAAUACAUGCAAGUAGAACGCUGAAGAGAGGAGCUUGCUCUUCUUGGAUGAGUUGCGAACGGGUGAGUAACGCGUAGGUAACCUGCCUUGUAGCGGGGGAUAACUAUUGGAAACGAUAGCUAAUACCGCAUAACAAUGGAUGACACAUGUCAUUUAUUUGAAAGGGGCAAUUGCUCCACUACAAGAUGGACCUGCGUUGUAUUAGCUAGUAGGUGAGGUAAUGGCUCACCUAGGCGACGAUACAUAGCCGACCUGAGAGGGUGAUCGGCCACACUGGGACUGAGACACGGCCCAGACUCCU
This 349-nucleotide ribosomal RNA is filed under the name Streptococcus thermophilus. Its description in RNAcentral is "bacterial SSU rRNA". It matches the Rfam family "Bacterial small subunit ribosomal RNA", at positions 1 to 340 of the family's 1533-position model. The record is from RNAcentral. Lineage: Bacteria; Bacillati; Bacillota; Bacilli; Lactobacillales; Streptococcaceae.